Molecule: ribosomal RNA, 36 nt
Filed under: Perezia pilifera
Lineage: Eukaryota; Viridiplantae; Streptophyta; Magnoliopsida; Asterales; Asteraceae
Description: partial large subunit ribosomal RNA
Source: RNAcentral
GGUCAGGYGGGACCACCCGCUGAGUUUAAGCAUAUC